RNAcentral lists this ribosomal RNA (377 nucleotides) under uncultured bacterium. RNAcentral describes it as "bacterial SSU rRNA". It matches the Rfam family "Bacterial small subunit ribosomal RNA", at positions 521 to 896 of the family's 1533-position model. The record is from RNAcentral.
UAAUACGUAGGGGGCUAGCGUUGUCCGGAUUUAUUGGGCGUAAAGAGCGUGUAGGCGGCCAGGUAGGUCUGCUGUGAAAACUCGAGGCUCAACCUCGAGACGUCGGCGGAAACCAUCUGGCUAGAGUCCGGAAGAGGAGAGUGGAAUUCCUGGUGUAGCGGUGAAAUGCGCAGAUAUCAGGAAGAACACCCGUGGCGAAGGCGGCUCUCUGGGACGGUACUGACGCUGAGACGCGAAAGCGUGGGGAGCGAACAGGAUUAGAUACCCUGGUAGUCCACGCCGUAAACGAUGGGUGCUAGGUGUGGGCGGUGUCGACUCCGUCCGUGCCGAAGCUAACGCAUUAAGCACCCCGCCUGGGGAGUACGGCCGCAAGGCUA